Molecule: ribosomal RNA, 253 nt
Filed under: uncultured bacterium
Lineage: Bacteria
Description: partial 16S ribosomal RNA
Rfam family: Bacterial small subunit ribosomal RNA
Source: RNAcentral
GACGUAGGGCGCGAGCGUUGUCCGGAUUUAUUGGGCGUAAAGAGCUCGUAGGCGGUCUGUCGCGUCGGAUGUGAAAACCCAGGGCUCAACCCUGGGCCUGCACUCGAUACGGGCAGACUAGAGUAUGGCAGGGGAGACUGGAAUUCCUGGUGUAGCGGUGAAAUGCGCAGAUAUCAGGAGGAACACCGGUGGCGAAGGCGGGUCUCUGGGCCAAAACUGACGCUGAGGAGCGAAAGCGUGGGGAGCGAACAGG